GUAAGGUGUUUUCCCCCUCUGGCUUCUUUCCAAAUUUUUUCUUUAUCUUUGAUUUUCUGUAAUUUGAAAAUGAUAUGCCUAGGUAUAGGGUUUUUUGGAUGUUUAUUCUGCUUGUUGGUUUCUGAACUUCCUGCAUCUGUAGAUUGGUGCCUGAAAUUAAUUUGGGGAAAUUCCUAGUCAUUAUCGUUUCAAGUUUUUCUUCUCUUCCUUUCUCUCUUCUCCAUCUUGAUUCCCAUUAAAUCUAUAUUAUACCUUUUUUAAUCGUCCCACAGUUGUUGGAUAUUCUAUUCUGUUUUUUUCAGUCUUUGUUCUCUUAGCUUUUCGGUUUUGGAGGUUUCUGUUGAGAUUUCCUCAAGUUCAGAGGUUCUUUUCUCAGCUGUGUUCAGUUUACUAGUAAUCCCAUCAAAGUCAUCUUUUUGUUGCAGUGUUUUUUUUAUUUCUAGCGUUUUCGUGGGGAAGGUUCUUUCUUAAGAUUUCCAUCUUUCUGCUUACAUUGCUUUCUGCUUUUGCAUGCUAUUUUAUCUAUUAGAACCCUUAGCAUAUUCAUCAUAGUUGUUUUAAAUUCUCAGCCUGAUAAUUCCAGUAUCCCUGCCAUGUCUGGUUCCGAUACUUGCUCUGUCUCUUCAAAUUGUGUUUUUCGCCUUUUGGUUUGCCUUGUAAUUUUUUUCUCGAUUGCCAGCUAUGGCAUACCAGGUAAAAGGCCCUGCUGUAAAUAGGCCUUUCGUAAUGCGGUGGUGAGGUGGGGGGAGGGCACGAGUUCGACUGUCCUGGGAUUAGGUCUCUUUCAGUGAGUCUGUGCGUCUGCACUGUGAACUUCACAGGUGUUUUUAAUUUUUCUUAUCCCCUCCUAGUUGGAAGGGGAUGGCUAGAGUGGGCUGGAGUUGGGCAUCUCCUUCCCCCCAGGUGAGCUAGGCUCUGAUAAAUCCCCAGCAGGUUAGGCUCUGGUUAACUAGUUUCCCUGAGGCCAGGUGUUCUUAAGAAGGACAUAGUGCUCUGAUGUAUGUCACAAAGGUUCCUUUCCCCUUCCCCUGCCAGAAGCAGGAGGGGGUUUUUCUCCAACAUAUUGUGGCAAUCUAGUUGAGCUCCUGGAAGUAAAUCUCACAAAACUGUGGUGCCUUGCCGUGACUGGGUCGCCCUCGGGUUUAUAGCUCUCAGUUUUGUCCACACUGAGCCUCCAUCAACUCAUCAAUUACAGCUCUGGCUUUCCUGCCCCGGCCCUGCUUCCUGUGGUGGUUUUAGCUGUGAAUCUCUGCUCUGGAUGAACACGUCUUGUCUUUUCGACUCUGUUCUCAUUGCAACAAACACAGGAAAGGAGAAGAAAGGGACACAGCCCCCGGGCUCACUUGUGAGAUCAGAAAACCAGGUGACCAUUUGUUGGAGGAAACUGUUUCUGGUGCCUGACAUAUUGUUAUUGAAGACUACAUGAUCCUUGCAGUUAUGUGGGAAGGUCUGACAAUCCCGAGAGCCUGAUGAUAAUCUUUAUAUUUCAUACCUUUUUCAAAUUCUGGUCUAUGUCAGUUUUUGUGAUUACAACAAUUUAAAGCAGAAUCACCAUAUGUUGAUAGUAAAACUGCUUCUCUAGUGGAUAAUUUUUACUUCUAAGAUCUGGGACUUGGGCAAAAAGUCUGUUUUCUGCAAAGUAAAGUACUUAAUUUAAGAAAUAUCAUAUUAUUCAGCUUUCAUUCUUCGCAUGGGAAAUUCAUCUAUUCCCCUGAUAACUUCAAGUUGAUUUUCUGAGUAUAUAAACUAGAUGGUGUACUUGGCUAGGGAAGGGGAGCAGAAUUUCAAGAAGUAGUUAAUAUAGGUGUGUAUAGGGGUUCUUUUGUCUCUAAGGUUCUGGAGUUUCUUGCGUCUUUGUUUCUUAUUUUCCUUCUUGAUAAGACCUGCUGUGUGGUUGUUAUGCUUUACUUCUGUGGCACGUUAGGCUCAUAUCUUUGGAGAAUAGUUUACAAUGAAUUUUCACUAUGAAACAUAAAUGAUGGUACAAAACCAAUGCUUUUUCUAAAUUUUUGGCUAAAUUUUCCAGAAAAAGUAUUAUUUUAGUUUUGCCAAAGUGAAGCUCCCAUGUUCUGAUGGCUUCCUGCAUUUUUCCCUGCUGAUUCACAUUUUACCACUAGGAAGGGCUGUGUAUGAACCUGAAAACAUAUAGGUUUCUCUAUGCAAUUCCUUUGUAUAUCACAAAAAGUUUUAAGUAAAUGUAUUUGUUGAGGAUUCCCAUCAUUACCUUUUCUCUGUUCAGAAAACUGCCCAUUUGUUCCAAUUUCUUGUCAUUUUUCAGAUGUAAACAAAUGGUUACCCAAGAAUAACAUUUUUCCCAAAUUAGAAGCAAUGGAUCUUAGGACUCUAGAAAUCAUUUCUUUUAGUAUCUGUCCAAUGGUUGAAUUCAGCUGAAUAUAAGGAUAUCUCAAGGCCUUGGCUCUGAGGCAAACUAUUUACCUUUAGACAGUAUGGUCUGCUAGAGGCGAUGACUGAAGGAGACACUGCCAGAGUUCAUCACAGGUUUUCUUUAAAUAGUUAAAUUCUCUCAUAUUAGGGGGAAAAAACCCUUAGAAAUUAAAUUUGCAUACACUUGUCUGAAUCUAAAAUAAUAUCUAUUGUCAUGGGGUUUAUGAAAAAAUCUCAUUUCUUUGCAGGAUACAAUAUAUUUCUAUGCAGGAAUCUCGUCAUGUCCAAAUUACUCUUUAGAACAAUCUACCUCUUCUCCCUAUUUGGUGAGAUAAAACAGCAUGACGAGGUAUAAACAGCGAAAGGUCUAGAAUAAAGACUAACUUUAUAUCCUACUUUUGCUACUUGCCAAUUCUGGAAAAGUAACCACUCUGAGCCUCAGUUUAUCUUCAAGUAAAUUGUAAAA
RNAcentral lists this long non-coding RNA (2851 nucleotides) under Equus asinus (donkey). RNAcentral's name for it is "lncRNA (ENSEASG00005034150.1)". The record is from RNAcentral. Lineage: Eukaryota; Metazoa; Chordata; Mammalia; Perissodactyla; Equidae.